AAUAUUGGACAAUGGGGGCAACCCUGAUCCAGCCAUGCCGCGUGUGUGAAGAAGGUUUUCGGAUCGUAAAGCUCUGUUGUAAGGGAAGAACACGUACGGGAGUCACUGCCCGUACCUUGACGGUACCUUAUCAGAAAGCCACGGCUAACUACGUGCCAGCAGCCGCGGUAAUACGUAGGUGGCAAGCGUUGUCCGGAAUUAUUGGGCGUAAAGCGCGCGCAGGCGGUCCUUUAAGUCUGAUGUGAAAGCCCACGGCUCAACCGUGGAGGGUCAUUGGAAACUGGAGGACUUGAGUACAGAAGAGGAAAGCGGAAUUCCACGUGUAGCGGUGAAAUGCGUAGAGAUGUGGAGGAACACCAGUGGCGAAGGCGGCUUUCUGGUCUGUAACUGACGCUGAGGCGCGAAAGCGUGGGGAGCAAACAG
RNAcentral lists this ribosomal RNA (423 nucleotides) under uncultured bacterium. RNAcentral describes it as "partial 16S ribosomal RNA". It matches the Rfam family "Bacterial small subunit ribosomal RNA", at positions 360 to 775 of the family's 1533-position model. The record is from RNAcentral.